AAGUCGUAACAAGGUUUCCGUAGGUGCAAGAGUUCGCCUACCGCAUGCUCAUGCGCGGUCUGCACCCGAAGGUGCAGGCAACACCGUUCAAAUGCUGGGCGUGCCGGGCGCAAGCCCGUCACCAUCAGCAGCCGGCGCUCCGGCGCCCGGCCCACAGAUCAUCCGACGGUGACCUAUCGAGAGGUUAAGAUAUGAUCGGUCCCGGCCCGCUCUGGGCCUUGGGAGGCACGGAACCUGCGGAAGGAUCAUUACCGAGAGACGGGACCUAACCGGUCCCAACUCUUCACCCCUGUCUACCAAAAUAUGUUGCUUUGGCGGGCCAACCGGCCUCCUCGGGGAAGGCCAACCCCUUCUCGUGCCCGCCAAAGGCCUUCAAUAAACCCUGUGAUCAGUGUCGUCCGAGUAAAAACAAUCGUUAAAACUUUCAACAACGGAUCUCUUGGUUCCGGCGUCGAUGAAGAACGCAGCGAAAUGCGAAAAGUAAUGUGAAUUGCAGAAUUCCGCGAAUCAUCGAAUCUUUGAACGCACAUUGCGCCCUUUGGUAUUCCGAAGGGCAUGCCUGUUCGAGCGUCAUUGCACCCCUCAAGCACUGCUUGGUAUUGGGCUUCGCCCCUGCGGCGGGCCCGGAUUCUAGUGGCGGUCCAGCGAGACUUCAAGCGUAGCAAGAUUAUCACAUCCCGCUUAGCAAGCCUUUUCGCUGCGUGCCGGCCAGACAACCCUAUACCAUUCCAAUGAUUGACCUCGGAUCAGUAGGGAUACCCGCUGAACUUAA
This 772-nucleotide ribosomal RNA is filed under the name Physconia muscigena. Its description in RNAcentral is "eukaryotic LSU rRNA". The stretch from base 420 to 573 matches the Rfam family "5.8S ribosomal RNA". Lineage: Eukaryota; Fungi; Ascomycota; Lecanoromycetes; Caliciales; Physciaceae. The record is from RNAcentral.